GACGAACGCUGGCGGCGUGCUUAAUACAUGCAAGUCGAACGGACAGGCCCUGCUUUUGUUGGUUGCUCGAUAGGCGAACGGGUGUGUAAAACGUGUGUAACCUGCCCUUGUCUUUGUGAUAACUCCUGGGAACUGGGGCUCAUACCCGAUAGGAGCUCCUGAUGCAUGGGGGUGGUUGGAAAGUUCCGGCGGUGCGGGAUGGUAUGGAGGGUUAUCCGCCUGUUGGUGGGGUUGGUGCUUACAAAGCGUUUGACGGGUAGCCGGCCUGAGAGGGUGGCCGGCGACAAGGGUACUGCGAGACGGCCCAGACGCGUACGUGACGCAGAAGUGGGGAGUAUUGCACAAUGGGGCGAAGCCUGAUGCAGCAACGCCGGGUGCGUAAUGACGGCCUUUGGGUUAUAAACCGCUUUCGCCGGUGACGAAGCGUGAGUGACGGUAAUGGGUAAAGAAGCACCGGCUAACUACGUG
This 468-nucleotide ribosomal RNA is filed under the name uncultured bacterium. RNAcentral's name for it is "partial 16S ribosomal RNA". It matches the Rfam family "Bacterial small subunit ribosomal RNA", at positions 28 to 507 of the family's 1533-position model. The record is from RNAcentral.